AGUGAACGCUGGCGGUAGGCCUAACACAUGCAAGUCGAACGGCAGCACAGUAAGAGCUUGCUCUUACGGGUGGCGAGUGGCGGACGGGUGAGGAAUACAUCGGAAUCUACUUUUUCGUGGGGGAUAACGUAGGGAAACUUACGCUAAUACCGCAUACGACCUACGGGUGAAAGCAGGGGAUCUUCGGACCUUGCGCGAUUGAAUGAGCCGAUGUCGGAUUAGCUAGUUGGCGGGGUAAAGGCCCACCAAGGCGACGAUCCGUAGCUGGUCUGAGAGGAUGAUCAGCCACACUGGAACUGAGACACGGUCCAGACUCCUACGGGAGGCAGCAGUGGGGAAUAUUGGACAAUGGGCGCAAGCCUGAUCCAGCCAUACCGCGUGGGUAAAGAAGGCCUUCGGGUUGUAAAGCCCUUUUGUUGGGAAAGAAAAGCAGCAGGUUAAUACCCCGCUGUUCUGACGGUACCCAAAGAGUAAGCACCGGCUAACUUCGUG
This 492-nucleotide ribosomal RNA is filed under the name uncultured bacterium. RNAcentral's name for it is "partial 16S ribosomal RNA". It matches the Rfam family "Bacterial small subunit ribosomal RNA", at positions 29 to 507 of the family's 1533-position model. The record is from RNAcentral.